Molecule: RNA transcript, 3103 nt
Organism: Solenopsis invicta (red fire ant)
Lineage: Eukaryota; Metazoa; Arthropoda; Insecta; Hymenoptera; Formicidae
Gene name: coiled-coil domain-containing protein 112
Exons: 7
Source: RefSeq, a predicted model, not a curated record
AUUGUUACUUUCAUAUUGUUAAAAAAUUAAAUAAAGUUUUAUUUAACGUAAUUAAUAAGUUAAUUAUGGUAAAUAACAACUGAAAAGUUAACUAGAAGUUUGAAAUCAAGUAUAAAGUACAUUUAGUAAUAAUACUUAUUUUUUUAGUAGCGGCUAUGUAUCGUCAUUUUAUGUAAUAAUUUGUAAUUUAGUACACUUAUUUAUAAAUAUAUGUCAUUAUAAUAUUCUUCACAUAUAAAAUAUUUAUACGUGAAUAAAAUUGCUUUUCUUGCGCUGCUUGUGAAGUCUACAUAAUUAUAUACAAGUUCCCUACUCGAUCAGCAGGUGCAAUUGCACGGGAGGGGAGAUAUUUAUGGUGAAUUACUAUGGAAACCCAUGUAUAAAACUUCAGAUCUCAGGAACUUCAAUGAACUUAGCUUUCUAUGCGUUUAUCUAUAUCUCAUAAGUUUUUAGGUUAAAUUAGUUUAUUAUAACAAGUUUCCUGGAGACAAAAAUAUCGCAGCUGUGUGUAUGCGUGUACAUACAAUGAAUGGAAUUAUUCACGAGAAAGGUAAGAAAGAAAAGCGCAUUCAAGCUCCGCCUUGUGGGAAAGUGCGUUCCGUUGAAAGCACGAGAUGCAGGAAAUCCCUGUUGAAGUUAAAGCAGCAAGAGUACUUGAUGGAAAAGAGUCUCGCCAACUUGAUGGAGAACAUGAAACUGGAACCAGAAGUUCUACGACCCGUUUUGCAUAAUAUGAGUGACAUCUCGAAAAACAGGCAGAUUUUUCUAAAUAGCGUGAGAAAACCCUUGAAGGAAAUUAUUGAGGAACUACAAUCGGCGCAAUCAAUCACAAAUUGUCCCGAGCAUAUCCAGAAAUUAGAUACAAGUGCAUACAAACAACGGCUCGUGAGAUUGUCCCAAAAAAUUCGAGACUUUCAAGAGUCUUGCCAACUGCGGAUUGCAACUUUGUCGCAGGAGCAAACUGCCCUCGAAUCUGAAUUACGUGAAUUUGAAUCGAAUUUGCAUAAGUAUGAGAAUGCAACCAGUAGUAUCGGCAAACCGACGUCCGCCGCGUCUUCUAACAAGGAAAAUAAAAAGUGUUAUGAUUAUAAGGAGAUCGAGGACUUCCACGAGUUAAUUGCUAAAACAGGCCACACUGAUAACUGGAGCGACGAGGAUCAUCUGUUGUUCCUGAAAAUGAGGAAGAAGUGCAGCAACAUUCCUGCUCUUGUGGCUGCCAUUCGAGUCAAAUGUCCGGAUUUAACAGUGGAGACUAUAGUGAAUCAUGAAGCUUGGUACAAGGUUUAUCUGAGCCUGCGUGAAAGGCAACGAUCGAGCGUCAGAGAGUGGCGCAAACAAAAAGAAAUGGAGAAGAUGAAGAUGAAAAAUCACGAGGAUGAAACUACUGCCAAAACCUUGGAAGAAAUUUCACGAGAGAAAAGAAACUCCAAUAUCACAGAUCUUUCAACUUGCGUGAUGAAUAAAUCCGAAGAGAGAAUAACAAAGACUGACAACUCUGUUGAUAUCAAUAAUCAGAAGAAGGAAUUAAUAAGACAGUGGAAAGCAGAGAGAGAGAAUAAACGUUUGAUGGACGAGGAACAGUUGAAGAUUCUGAUAAAGUCAAAGUAUGCCUUGCAAGAAAAACGUAAAAGGGAGAGAUUGAAAAGACUUCGGGAAGUUUUGGCGGAGCACCGUGAAAGAAAAUCGAUUGAAGUUUCUUUCCAAACUUCGAAAGACGAUUCGAGACCAAAGUACAAUCCAAUGUUAAUUAAGGCAUUUAGGAAACAAGAUGCAGAAUAUACAAGAAGAAAAAAGAAUUUAAUAACGAAACGGAAAUUGAUUAAAAAUCAAACGGUAAAAAUCGUAAGAUUGCAAACAACAAAAAAACAAGAUCACUCGACUCUGUUCAAUUCGACUGAAGUAUGGAGAGAAAAAUGCAGAAUAUACGAUCCUAACAUGAAGGAGCCAAAAAAGUUGCAAUAUAUCAAAGACGUUCCACGUUUAUACGUCCAAUGGAGAAACAAGGAAUCGAUGGAGAUUAAGGAUGCUCUGGCAUUUUCUUAAUGUCAAAAAAAUCUUUUCUCGCUUUAGCCAAGGUUCCUUCGCAGUUUGACGAAAAAGACAAAGAACAUAAUAAGUUAUGAGUAAACGAGUGUUGAAUUUAUCCAGGACCGUCGUUUCGCGCAUAUUCAGCUUUACAAUAUUAUAUUAUAAAUUGCGGUUCUCUUUUUGUUUCCAUAACUUUUAUUUUAUUUUCAGGAACAAAAAAAAGAUAAAGGAAUAAGGGAAGAGGAUCACCAUCGUCGACGUCAUCUCGGAUAACUUCAACCCUCGGCGGCAUUUUACUCAAAUAUAUAUAUAUAUAUAUAUAAUAUACUUUCUAUCAAUCUUUUUCUGUUCGUUAAUUUCAGAUAUUCUUUCGUUUAGGUUACCAAAUACAAAAACACAUAAGUGAUACAAUAUAUAUAAUAUAUAUAAUAUGCUAUAAUACAAAAAAAUGUACUGUAUCGCGCCGAAUAUGAUAGUUCGACGACAGUACGACAGUUCGCUCGCAGUAGUUUAAAAUUCCUCUUUAAUAAUUAUCACUAUUAUUAUUAUUAUAAUUGUUUACAUAUCGCAGGAUAAUCCUACACGGCGCGAUACAGUGGCAUCUCUCACUCUUUGUGAGAAUACGCGCAAAGACCCUAUAAUGUACUCUUUUUUUGUUUCUCGCUUUAGUGUUUGUAUUUAUAUUUAUUUGUAUUUAUACUCUUGUUUUUAUUUAUUUAUAUAUGUAUACGUAGAAAUAUAAUUAUUUAGAAUUUAUUAAUGCAUACUUAGGAGGUUGUUUUAUUACAACGAACGAUAAAUCGUAUUUAACACAUACUCUGUUUCACUCACGCUCUCUCGAUUGAUACACACGUCACAGCAACGACUGUCGCGCGAUUUCUUUUUUAUCACUAACCUUUCCAAAACCCAAAUGAUAAAUAUAUACACGUGUGAACAUUUGUACAGUGAAGCCUCCCUUUCGUCCCCUAUAACGUAUUAUUAACAUUUGUUUUGUUUUUUGUUUUUUUUAAUUAACGGUAAAGUCCAUGUGUAUCGCGCUAUCUCUCGUCUCGGUAGACUAAUUUUUGCCCUGUUA